AAAAGAACCAGCAAAACAAAUGCAGUCUAUCCAAAAUCCAAGAAUUCGGAAAAGACAAUUUACAAUUAUAGCUCAUGUGCUCUGCAUCCCACAUGCACAACAAUCCUUCUUUAACCAUAUCUUCCACAUCAGUACAUGUCACAUAAUGGCACUACUGACUAUGCUAAUCAGUAAUCCAAUCACUAAUUAUUGGCCUGAAAUCUACGCUGCACUUCAAAACAAUACAAAUUUUUAUGUUGAAACAAUUGGAUUGAGAUAGCCACCCAUAAGUAAAGACACCAAAACCUGGAACAAAUGAGAAUUCUAAGCUCAUGUCUGGCUACCCAAAAAACUUUAACCAACUUACUAUAUUGAAAAGACUUUCAGUUUAUUAGAAAAGCCACAAAGACAAGAAUAUCAAAAUUACAUAGAGACCACCCACACUACCUCUCUUCCGUGCAAUAAAUAAUAAGGCAUAUAG
Molecule: unclassified non-coding RNA, 460 nt
Filed under: Hevea brasiliensis (rubber tree)
Lineage: Eukaryota; Viridiplantae; Streptophyta; Magnoliopsida; Malpighiales; Euphorbiaceae
Source: RNAcentral